CCUACGGGAGGCAGCAGUAGGGAAUAUUGGUCAAUGGCCGAAACCCUGAAGCAGCAACGUCGCGUGGAGGAUGACGGCCCUAGGGUUUUAAACCCCUUUUUUUAGAGAAGAUAAUGACGGGACCUAACGAAUAAGCACCGUCUCACUCCGGGCAAGCAGCCGUGGUUAAUUGGAGGGAGCAAGCGUUAAUCGGAAUCUCUGGGCGUAAAGGGCGCGUAUGGGGGAUAGCAAGUCAGAUGUGAAAUGCUAGGGCUUAACCCUCUAACCGCAUUUGAAACUGUUAUUCUAGAGUAUGGGAGAGGUAGGUGGAAUGCUUGGUGUAGGGGUGAAAUGCGUAGAGAGCAAGCAGAAUACUGAUUGCGAAGGCGACCUGCUGGCACAUAACUGACGCUGAUGCGCGAAAGCGUGGGGAGCAAACAGGAUUAGAUACCCUAGUAGUC
RNAcentral lists this ribosomal RNA (440 nucleotides) under uncultured bacterium. RNAcentral's name for it is "partial 16S ribosomal RNA". It matches the Rfam family "Bacterial small subunit ribosomal RNA", at positions 338 to 795 of the family's 1533-position model. The record is from RNAcentral.